Ananas comosus (pineapple) is the source of this 2175-nucleotide long non-coding RNA. RefSeq lists it as uncharacterized. The record is from RefSeq and is a predicted model, not a curated record. The transcript has 3 exons. NCBI's taxonomy places the organism in Eukaryota, Viridiplantae, Streptophyta, Magnoliopsida, Poales, Bromeliaceae.
UAUUGUAAAUAAAUUAAUAUAUAAUACAUUAAUUAAUAAUAUUUUAUUAUCAAAUAAGUAGAGAUUUAAGGCGUGCCAUCCUCUUAACGAGUUAUCCUAGCAUAACCCGUUAUAAGAGGACCUAGUUUUUUUUUUUUUUUGGAGGGGAAGGGGAAGGUGGAAUAAGGGGGGGAAUAACGCUUUUAUUACUCUUAUUAGUUUUCGAAAUAAACAAUGCAUAAGAAGUGUGCUGUACCUGCAUAGGGUGGUUCAAUUUGGCUCAUGGGUACUAUAGUUCCAUGCAAAGGCGACACUCGCGGCACUAGGCGAUACAUGGGUGGCACUCCACAAUUUCUAGUGCCAGUCGACCCAGACUUGUGCCAUGUUCGGUCACCCAACCAGCACGAUAUGGCGUGAGGGGCAAAAGGCGAUGCCUGCAGUAUGCUAAUUAUUGGUUUUAGUAUUGUAACUAUUACCAAUUAAUUUGAGUCAGGAUUGAACUCAUAUUAUUGGAUUGUUCUGGCAUGUUUUGGCAUUUCAUAAUACUACAAUUAUCCGGGUUCUCUAAAUUAAGCAUUUAUGAGCUAUUUGAAUUUCGGGUUUUCAUCCUGAAAAUUAGAUUUUGAUCGGUGUCAUUAUACGAGUUAUUUUUACAAUAGCUUAUUGAUUUUGAUUUUGGAUCUUCAUGGGCUAACUAGCUUUAUUAAAAAUGCCAUGACCCUUUAGGGCCCUUUAUACGACACUACCAUUAUCAGUAUCCCGUGCCAAAAAUGCAGGAAUCUCCAUUCUAUUCUGAGCUAACGAGCAACUAUAAACCACAAAAUAGUGGUGGGAAGGGUGACACAGAUUAGUCUCUUUCAUCCGCCAUUCACACAUGAGGCAUAUUAUAAAUUUGAGCUUGUUCUACUCAUAUGACAGUUAAUUUGUUGAAAUUUACUAUCCUAUUGCUCUUUCAGUUGGACAUCUAUUUUUUAGUUAGAUUGAUGAGAAUGUAUCCUGGUUAUUUGAUGAAUUACAUUUUGUUGUCCUGUUAGUUCAGCUUGCCAUCGUAUGGUGCUGUAUUUGAGUUAGUUUGGUAAGUAUACAUGCUAGUUAUUUGUCGAGUUUUUUUUCCAAAUCCUGCUAGUUCGUUCUGCUAUACUAGACAUCAUUGUUUGAAUUAGAUUAAUGAGUCUAUAUCCUGCUUAUCUGCUGAAUCUUAUUUUGCUGUCUUGCUAGUUCUGACAUCUAAUUUUCUGUUAGUUAGAGUAUAUAUGCCGGGAAUUUGUCGAAUCUUGUGUUUCUCUCCUGGUAGCUCAGUUUGUCAUCCUGGACAUCUCUUUAUUUUGGAGUUAGAUUGAUGAUUAUGUAUACUGGUGGUUUGUUGAAUCUAACUAUGCCGCCCUUCGGUAUACGAUCCUAGACACUUUCUUUCAGUUAGUCUACUCAGUAUAUAUGCUGGUCCUUUGCUGUAUUUUCUGCUCCUCUCUCGCCAUUCAGUUUGCUAUCCUGUGCAUGUACUUCGAGUUAGUUUGCUCGUAUGUGUUGGUUAUUUGCUGAAAACCAAUUCAAUCUCGACCCUUUAUCCUCCAGCCUAUACCAUUGCGAUAAUGUAAGCCCACAAAAAAGAGAGCUAGUAACAUUGGGAAAGGCAGCAUGGAUUCGAACUGUUGCGUCGACCAUGCCUUACAUAAGUUAUCUUUUAGUCUGUGCUCAAUCGAUUCAUAUCAUUGUUGAAUUACUGAAUCUCCUUUUACCGUCCUGCUAGGUUGUCAUUCUAGACAUCUAUGUUUGAGCUGGAUUGAUGAGCAUAUAAUCUGCAAAAAUACGAGGCUGGGGGUCCUGGUAAUAUAGGCAUGGAUGCGAGGAUCUUUCCUUGCAGGCGUCUCAUAAGUAACAUUGGGAAGGGUGGCACAGAUUCCACCUGUUGCAUCCACUAUGCCGUGCAUUAAUUAUCGUUUAGCCGGUGCUGAUUGUACCCAUCUUAUUGUUAAAUUACUUAGUUUGCUAAUAUGUGUUGGUUAUCCGCUGAAAACCAAUUCAAUCACGACCCUUUAUCCUCCAGCCUAUACCAUGCGAUAAUGUAAGCCCACAAUAAGAGAGCUAGUAACAUUCGGAAGGGUGGUAUGGAUUCGAAUUGUUGCAUUGACCAUGUUGUACAUAAGUUUAUCUUUUAGUCUGUGCUCAAUCGACUCAUAUCAUUGUUGAAUUGCUGUA